This 8047-nucleotide long non-coding RNA is filed under the name Cucumis sativus (cucumber). Its description in RNAcentral is "long non-coding RNA (CSAT_LNC000534)". Lineage: Eukaryota; Viridiplantae; Streptophyta; Magnoliopsida; Cucurbitales; Cucurbitaceae. The record is from RNAcentral.
UGAUAGAUUGAAGAUGGAUAUUGUCAUCUAAGGUUCCAACAACUUUUACGGCUGUGAUAACCAAUGGAUAUGGAAGCACUAUAUUGGCAGUGAAACGAGGAUUGUCAGACAUGGAUUGGCCGACAUGUGGUUGGUGAAGAACGACAGGUAGUUUUAAGGAUGAAAGAUGAGAUUUUGGGCCAACCCCACUUAGAAGGAGAAGUUGAGGACUUCCAAUGGCUCCUGCACUUAGAAUAAUUUCUCCUUUUUUGCGGAUGGAUGCUGUGUGUAACCUUCCUUUGGAGUCUGAAUAUAAAACUCCACUUGCUGAUAAACCUACACAAGUCCAAGAAAAGAAAUCAAUGUGAUACAAAGUUGGAGGAAGCCAUUUAUGGAACUAGUAGGGGUGUAAGUGGUUCCGUCCGACUAGGUUUUUACAGAAAACCAAAACCGAACCGUUCAUUCGGCAGAAGAAUUGGUGUGAACCAAAGCCGAACCAUAUAUAAUCCCAAACCGGAUGUAAUAGUGUGUUAAAUAUAAGGACUAAACUGUCAACAUUAAGAUUUCGAGUUUUACGUAUCAAUAUUAAUGGAUUUAUCAACAACCAAAUAGUUAUAGUUAUAUCAAUGAAUUAAAAUAAUGUGAGAUUCACUAUUCCAUUUAGCACUAACCAGAAAAGAUGAUUUUCUCUACUGUGGCUCGGACGACAACUUUAAGAUUAUUGGGUUGAGCCUUAUUCAAAAGCUCCACAGAUCCAUGUCUAUUUCCUUCCUUAUCAAAGAUUGACCCUCCAAUCUUAGUCCCCAAACGAUGGUUCAACUCAAAUCCAUUAUAAGGACCAACGCCAGCUUCCAACAAACCAUUUCUGAAAGCAUAUUGCCAACCAUUAUUCAAACUUGCUUCAAACACCACACUCUCUUCAACCCAUUCAUAAGCCUUUUUCACCAAUUCCAUGUCCCACUUAACUCCAGCAGUUUCAAAAAACUCUUGAUGUCCCCUUGAGUAGAACCCACCAUUGAGCAUACUAGUACCACCAAGGACUCGUCCUCUUAGAUUCUCCACGCCAUCCUCGGAAACAAAUCGUUGGAAAGGAUUUUCUCCAUCGUCUUCAACCGUGUAGACGUUUAAGAAACUUUGUUCCUUCAAUACAGAGGGAUACUUGGUUGGUUCACUACCUCUUUCAAGAAGUAGAACUGAGAAAUUUGAUGUUAAUGUUGCAGCUAAUGGACACCCUGCUGUUCCUCCCCCUAUUAUUAUGUAGUCGUAUUUUUCUUUUGUUGGUAAAUCACUAGCAUCAUGUACAAACUUCAUGUAUCUAAAAUCUGGAAAAAAGAAAAGAAAAGGAAUAAUAUAUUUAUGAUGAGAAUAUUAAAGGCAAUUAAAAAAAUAUUCACUCGAUGAGAGAAAUCAAUAGAUAUGCUGAGACAUCCCAAUUAGGUUGACAUGGAAGCAUAUUCAUUAGGCUCCAAGCCCAAAGAUAAAGCGAGCAAUGCAAGGAGGCAACCAUAAUUAAAUGAUGUUGGAAGAAAAAUGGGGUUUUAUUACCUUCAUUAGGUUUAGUGUUUGAGGAGAGGGAGACUCCCAAUUGAAACUGAAGCAUAGAUAUGAGAAUGAAUAGAAGAAAGGAAGCCAUAAUAAGACUAUGCUCCAUUAUUGUGUUUUUUCAAAUUUCUUUAUGUGGAGAGGGCAUGUCUGAAUGUGUAUAUAUAGAAAGAGAUAGGAGUUUGAAUUUAAAAUAAUUUGACAUUCUCGUGAUAGCUAGCUGUGAUGUAUACAGUUGGUCAAAUUUAAACAACACAAAGAAAAUGAACUUUUACUCUAAAUCGUUUUUAGAGAAAAAUAACAUGAUUAGAGAAAUACCAUGUCCUUUCAUUUUUAUCAUUCUUGUUACUCCAUGGAAUGACAAUUCUCUGAUUGAAAAAGAGAAAAAAAAACAUAAUGUUUAGGUAAGAAGAAAACUGAGAUUGUUUUAUCUUUAAUAGGAAAAACCAAUAAUUUAUUCAACCGUAACGAUUACUUAAAAAAUAAAGUUAAAAAUUUCAUGUGGUAUUUAAAGAAAUUAAGGCAAAUUGUUUUGAGAAAACUAGGAAGAUUCGAUAAUUAACUAUACAAAAUUUGUGUAAUAAGGUUAGAAUAUGAAAAAACUAAUAAUUUAUUUGCACGUAAUAAUUACAUCAAAAAGUAAAAAUUUGACAUCGUAUUUAAAAAAAUAACUGAAAAAUGUUUUACGAAAAUAGGACAUUUUGAGAAAUUAAUUAUACGAAAUCUGUGUAUUGAAUUUAGAAUACAUAUUUCUUUAAAAAUCAAUAAAUUGUUCGCACGUAACGAUUAUAUAAAAAAUUGUUGAAAAUAGACGUUAGAUUUAAAGAAACUACUAAAAAAUAUUUUACGAAAAUAGUAUAAUUUAAUAAAUUAAAUAUACAAAUUUGUGUUGGAUUUAGAAUACGAAUUUUUUGAAAGAAAUAUAUAUGAAAAUAAAUUUCAUAACACUACCUACAUAACACUUACCCCAAACACAUCUUAUCAUAAUACUAGAUUUAUCAUAACACUAACCUUUCAUAUCUCAAUCUUUCCCCCAAACACACCAUAUCAGUUAUUACCAACCAAACAUUUUUAAUUAGAUUGACAAUAUACCAAUUUUACAAGUUAAACUCUACAUACUUUAACAUGCCAAAAUAUUGAAUACCCAUUUAACUUGUUUGGUUGGAGUUUUAAUUUAUUUUAACAUUAUGACUUUUAACUAAUUAAUUAUAGUAUUUAAAUGCUUAAUUAAUGGCCACGACAACUCAUUUUUACUUUUGCACACAACCAUCCAAUUCAAAAUACUACCUAAACAUACAAUAAAAUUUAACUCAACUAAUAAAAUAUCAUUUUAUUUUCUAUAAAAUCUCUUUUAUUUUCUAUAAAAUCUCUUUUAUUUAUUGUAUUGUUGAAUAUUUAAUUUUUUUUUGUUAAAACAAGUUAGUUUCUUAAAUUUGGAUAAAUAAUGUAGUUUUCAAAAAUAAUUAUUAAAAUAUUGUAGAUGGAAAUACUAUGUUUGAGGUUAGAGAAGUGUUUUAGUUGGUUAGAGAAGUGUUUUAGUUGCUUCUGAAUGUCAUUCUUGAAGAGAGUAUAUAUCUUUAUGUCUCAACCCAAAGGUUAUAAUCCGACGUCAGGAGCAAAAAGUUUGCAAGCUGAAUCGAUCCAUUUAUGGGUUGAAACAAACAUCUAGAUCUUGGAACAUUAGAUUUGAUAUUGCGAUCAAAUUAAUCUUACGGUUUUAACCAAAUCGUUGAUGAACCUUAUGUAUACAAGAAAAUCAACAAAAGUAAAUGGCUUUCUUAGUACUUUAUGUGGAUGACAUCCUUCCCACUGGGAAUGAUGUAGGAUGCCUAACUGACAUUAAAACUUUGGUAGUAGCCCAAUUCCAAAUGAAAGAUUUGAUAGAGGCACAAUAUGUUCCAGAGAUCUAAAUCAUUAAGGAUUGUAAGAACAAAACGCUAGUACCGUCUCAAGCAAUCUAUAUCGACAAAUUGUUGGUUCGAUAUUUGAUGCAGAACUCUAAGAAGGGUUUGUUACCUUUCUGGCAUAUGGUUCACUUGUCUAAGCAGUAGUGUCCUAAGGCACCUUAAGAAGUUAAGGUUAUGAGACGUAUUUCCUAUGUCUCAGUUGUGAGUAGGUUAAUGUAUGUUAUGCUCUGCACUAGAUCAGACAUUUGUUAUAUAGUGGGAGUGGUCAGUAGAUAUCACUUCAACCCAGGGUUAGACCACUGGACAACAGUUAAAAUUAUUCUCAAGUAUCUGCUACAAGAAAAAUGGUCUACGAUGACAGUUAUUUUCUGUCGCGAAUAAAAUUCGUGACAGUCAUUUACAGUCAUAGAAGCGGGAGUCAUGGAAAGUCCUUCCAUGAUAGUUUUCGAAAACUGUCGUAAUAAGAUUUUUCAUGACAGAAAAUAAAUGUCGUUAAUUACUAUUUUAUGACAACAAAUAACUGUCAUAUUUUAUAUUAUGACAAUAAAGAACUGUCAUCAUUUGCGUAUUAACGACAAUUUAAAAAUGUCACAAAUUCGUUUAUUAUGACAUUUUUUAAAUGUCAAGAAUAUGUCAAUCGUGACAGUUUUUUUAAAAAUUAAAUGUCAAUGUUUUGCUAUUUAUGACACUUUUUUCUGUUAAAUAUAGGGCAAUCCUGAUAGUUUUUCUUAUAAAAUAAUGUUAUUGUUUCAAUAUUGACGACAGUUAUGAAGUGUAACGAAUUCAUAUAUUAUGACAUUUAUUUCCUGUUGCAACUUCUUCAAUUACUAUCGUUUUUUCCUGCUCUCCUUGUCGCUCCACCAUUACACGAACCAUUUGAACGACAAUAAUAUUAUAAUACAUAAGACCCAUAUAAAAACAAAUAGUCGACACUUUAAUAUAUAUACACCAUAAUACACUUUGUAAUAUUCGUACAUUUUCAAUCAAGUUUUGAAUAAUUUACAAGUAUGAAAUUACAGUCUUUAAUCAAAACUAGUGUAAAUAUCAUCAUAAUGCAUAUAACAUGAUUUUCUGUACAAGCAUAAACAACCAAAAUAUAGAAUACAAUCUACAUACCAAUCUUCCAUCUUCAUCUCUAAACAAACCAAAAAGUGUUCUAUCCAUCAAUUGCUCCAAGUUAGAUUCAUUGCUUCAAUAGAUUCUUCCAAACCUAGUAAGAAAACAAAAUCUCAUUUUAAAGUAUGACUAAAUAACAUCUCAACCCUUCAUUCCAGCCACCCUCCCAACAUAAUCAAGAAUAGUGAAAAUGGCACACACAUAACAUAUGUCUAAACCCUUUAUUCCAACCCCCCAAGUGAAAAUGGCACACAUAAAAUAAAAAUUAAGAAAAAGACUACCAUAACUGCAGGAUAGUCAUAACACUUCAACAUGUAUUUAGGUUCAAGAACUACCAAACCACCCUCAAAAAGGUAAACUCACACCCACGUUGUCAUAAAAUAAAAUAUGCCAGUUAUUUGAAGUCGUUGAAUGUUGAUUAACGACAUUUAUUUCAUGUCAUAAAAUAACCUAUUGCGACAGUUUUUGAAAACUGUCGUCAAAGGACUUUCCAUGACUCCCGUUUCUAUGACUAAAAAUAACUGUCGUGAAAUUCGUUUACAACAGUAAAUAACUGUCAUCAUAGACCACUUUUGUACUAAUGCACACACAUAAAGUGGUUCUCUACUUUAGCCAAGAGUUGGAGCUUUGCUCCCCUAUAACUGAGGGCACUCAAACCCCAGAUAGGAAAGACAACAUGGGUUUUUGGCCUAAAGCUCACUUAAAUGUUCAAAUUAGAGACCUCUAAGCUGGUAUGACAAGAGAGUACCACAAGUCAUUGUUAACUUUGAAUAUAGACAGUUUAGGUGAGCUCUUUGUACCAUUGAUUGUAACUCCAACAUUUCAAGGAAAAGUAAUGUUUCUUUCUGCAGAAAUAAUAAUCAACUGUUGCACUUACGAAAAACAUUACGCCCCUUAAACCAAAAAUUUGGGUAUUUUCCACCAUACCAUCUAAAAUAAUUAAGAUAUAUAUGUUGCAUACAGCCAGUAAUUAUAUUACAUAGUAACUAUAUUUAUCAUAGUUCACAACACACCUAAAGAAGGUUGCUCCUGAAAUCGUAUAAUUCAGCAGCUGCCAAGACCACAUUACAAAGAUGGUUGCUACAAUAAACCUGAAAACAAUAAUGGAAUCAAAAGCUUAAAGAAUAGCUGAUUAUUAUAAGAACCACAUCCCAGAACUGAAACACAAACAACAUCACAAGAAUUAUUCCAGCAUCUCUAUCUUCAACUUUAUCCGGACUCUCAAUUAUCUAUUUCAUUAUCAAGAUACAUAGAUGGGAGAAAUAAAACAAUAGUUGAAUGACUUGCAUAAUUGAAAAUUUUGAGCUCUUUGGAUAUUAUUGAAUUCUUCAAUUAAUCCGUGGUCAAAUUCUAGAAUGUCGUAACAUAUAUGAGUCUAUCACUAAUAAUAGGUGUUCAUCAAUAAUAUACUUUUAUCACUUGUAAUAAAUCUAUCAGUGAUAGAAAUUUAUUAUUGUUAAUAAUUUUAUCAUAAUUGAUAAGCUUCUAUCAAACGGUAGAAGAUUAGUGACAAGAUAGUUUUUACAAUAUUUUAGUUAAUUUUCCCAUAAAUGCAAAAGAUUAAUGUCUUUAAAAUUUGUAAAAAAUUGUAUUGAAUGAUAAAUUAAUUAAGUUAUUUUGCAAAAAUGUCUUUAAAGUUUGUGAUUUUAUAAAUAUAGCAAAAAAAAAUAAUAAGUCCAAACUUUUUUAUAUGCAUGGAUUGGAUUUUGUUUUUUUCAUUUUCAUAAAUAAUAAAGUAUAUAAUUUAAUUAUAAUAACUUGUUUUUCCCUUUUUGGGCAGGGAACAACAUUAGCUGGUAAUGAGUUCAAUUAUGUUUGAAGUCAACUCUAUUUUAUGAGUAAAAGAGAAGACAAAACAAUAAGUUUAUUGUGGGAAUAAGAAGAAAAAAAUAAUACAAUAUUUAGAAACCCAUUAAAAAUAUGAACAAACAACUAUCAUAAUAAAAUACACAUUAAUUAUAUUAAAGGAAAAAACAAGAUAGAUGCAGCCGACGAACAACUAACAAGAACAUUGACCAAAAAUUGGCCUCGUAAUUUAUUUGAGAUUCGAUCUUUGAUGGAGUAACUUAAGGCCAACAUAUCUGCAAAAUUAUUUUGAAAUGAUUAGUUCAUUCAAAUAAAAGAGAAUAUUGAAAUUAAAUCACAAGUUACAUCCUAUUUCUUUAUAUGAACAUAUUAUAUGGUGUUACUUUUUUUUUUUUUUUGAAAGAAAACUUCAAAGUUUUGAUAAUCCUAUAGUUGCAAACAUAGAGAGAAAAAAAAAGGAAUUACUCACCGGCCAAGCAUCAUGAGAGUGGCCAUGGGAUUAGUUCCCGGCGACUCAGAGAAAGUGGAGCCAUCGACAACACGCAGAUUUUUAAUUCCAAUCACUUUAUAAUUACCGUCAACCACUUUUCCCACCAAACAUCCUCCAUGGUAAUGCCAAUAAGUAGUCACUGUCUUUUUACAAUAUUCUUCAACAGAGCUAUCAUUCCACAAAUUUUCCGGUAGUGGAACACCCAAGAACUCAAACCCUUUAUUACCCUCCAAAUUUUUUGUCUUAAUCUUUUCCAUAGUUCGAGUUUUAAGCAAAUCUCCCAUUUUUCUUACACCUUUAACACAUCGACCAAGAUCAUCAGGAUGUGAAUAAUAGUUGAAUCCAACAAUGGGACUCUUUUUCACAUUAGUAGAGGAAUUUAAUCGAAGUGAGCCUUCAGAAUGAACUUCGGAGAAUUUUCCAACAAACAUGGCUAAGGUUGGGAUGAUGGAAGUGGCUUGAGGAGGAAGAAGACUGAAAAUUUGGGGAAUUAAAAUUGGGAAAGGGCUGGCAAUAGAUUGUAUAUAGAUAUUGUCUUGUAAAAUUCCAACAACUUUUACAGAAGAAGGAAGAACUGGAAAUGGAAUGAUGAUGUUGGUGCCAAAACGGGGAUUGUCGGACAUGGAUUGGCCGACAUAUGGUUGGUGAAGAACGACAGGUAGUUUUAAGGAUGAAAGAUGAGAUUUUGGGCCAAUCCCACUUAGAAGGAGAAGUUGAGGACUUCCAAUGGCUCCUGCACUUACAAUGAUUUCUCCCUUUUUGCGAAUGAUUGCUCUGUGUAGCUUUCCUUUUGAAUCUGAAUACAACACCCCAUUUGCUGAUAAACCUACGAGUCAAAAUAAUACAUGAUAAAAAACUGUGGAAAUUAUCGGUUGGAAUAAAUGAUAUGAACUCGAAAUAUGACUUUCUUCAAAAUUAAUGCAUUUUAGAAUAACUUUUCACGAGUUAAAUUGAACUUGAAAUAAGCUUUUUUCAAGUUCAAUUUAUUUUCAAAAAAAUCUUGUGAAAGAGUGUUGCUUCAACAAGAAAUGUACUUUGUUAAAUCCUAGAAAACAAUUUCUCGGAGUUGGUAAAAUUAUCUCAAUGGAACAAUACAUAAAGUCAUUGGCUCAGGUUUCCUCAUGAGAUUACGUUAAAGUAUAAAUUAAAACUCCAGUCAUUUAAAACAAAUAUAAUUUAAAUGGAAUAUUUGCAAGCACUAACCAGA